Molecule: ribosomal RNA, 440 nt
Filed under: uncultured bacterium
Lineage: Bacteria
Description: partial 16S ribosomal RNA
Rfam family: Bacterial small subunit ribosomal RNA
Source: RNAcentral
CCUACGGGUGGCAGCAGUGGGGAAUAUUGCACAAUGGGGGAAACCCUGAUGCAGCGACGCCGCGUGAGUGAAGAAGUAAUUCGUUAUGUAAAGCUCUAUCAGCAGGGAAGAAAAUGACUGUACCUGCGUACGAAGCCCCGGCUAACUACGUGCCAGCAGCCGCGGUAAUACGUAGGGGGCAAGCGUUAUCCGGAUUUACUGGGUGUAACGGGAGCGUAGACGGCAGUGCAAGUCUGGAGUGAAAGUCGGGGGCUCAACCCCCGGACUGCUCUGGAAACUGUACGGCUGGAGUGCAGGAGAGGUAAGUGGAAUUCCUAGUGUAGCGGUGAAAUGCGUAGAUAUUAGGAGGAACACCAGUGGCGAAGGCGGCUUACUGGACUGUAACUGACGUUGAGGCUCGAAAGCGUGGGGAGCAAACAGGAUUAGAUACCCGAGUAGUC